RNA transcript from Pseudomyrmex gracilis, 6494 nucleotides. It is a transcript of the gene named tyrosine-protein phosphatase 69D, with no coding region annotated. The record is from RefSeq and is a predicted model, not a curated record. The transcript has 12 exons. Lineage: Eukaryota; Metazoa; Arthropoda; Insecta; Hymenoptera; Formicidae.
AUGUUACCUCACGGCGGUGGCAGUGUUGUUAGGUCUUUGGCACCGCUGCUCGUUUGCUUCCUCGUGCUCGGCGCGGCCGACCUCGACGAAUCCGGUGCGGACAAACCAGGAGAAGCGGAAGAAGCGGCGGACAGAUCGAAAGUCGAGCCGACGGCGUCGCUCGAGAUCCAGUCGUCGCAGGAUAUCGAGGGUAUUGAAGCGGGCAGCACGCCGUCGCUGCUAUGCAAGCUCGACGUGCCGGGUCAGGUCUGGUGGAGCACCGGCGGCAGAAAUCUCACCACCAUCAAGGAUUUCGAGUACGGCGGCCGGCUCGACAUCAAAAAAGCGAGCAGAAACGACACCGGCGACUACAAGUGCUCCGCGCAGACCGCCGACGGCGAAUCGCUCGAGAAAAACAUUCAUAUCAGAGUGAUAGAACCCGGCAAAAUAAUGUCAGGCGGCGAUGUGAGAGCGAAAGUGAUGGAAGCGGCCAACUUGACUUGUCACAUACACGGUUAUCCGUUAUCCAACUUCACUUGGUUAAAAGGGAAUGAUUCAGAGAGCAGCGAGCACUUGAACGAUCUCACUGCCGUAGCGCAGAUAAACGAGACUUAUUCUGUUUUAAUCCUGGAAUUCAAGAGUCUCGCGCGCAAAGACAACGGCACUUACGCGUGCCAGGCGAGGGACUACAACGGGAUAAUUAGCGCCGUCGCGCACUUAUUUGUCAUUGACGUGCCGAAAGUUAGCAUAGACUUUAUGAAGGCCGUAGGCGCGGGAAGUAUAUUUCUAAAUUGGACUGUCAACGAUGGUAAUGAACCGAUCAAGAAGUACUUCAUCCAGCACAUGAAAAAGGGCACGGAUCAACGUCAGUACUACGCUGAGCAAAUCGGCGGCGGUAAUUCGAGUUAUGUUCUCAAAGGAUUUGAAAGCGGCACCGCGUAUCAAAUUGGGAUCAGUGCCACCAAUGCCGUGGGCACAUCCUACAUGCAAUUAGAUCCACGGUGGAUCACCACGCUUGACAAAGAUCCGGUGUUUGUGCCAAAAGUGUCUGUGAACGGCGUGACGGAGAAUUCGAUUACAAUAGGCUGGACAGUGCCACCGCCGGAUUUGAAAGAACAUGUGCACUAUUACAAUCUGAUGGCUACCCACGCUGAUCAGAAGAGAGAAGCGGUGUAUCCCGCCCAACCAUUCACCGUGUACGCGUUUGUGGAUCUCGAUCCAGCGACCACUUACAAAUUCAGGAUAGCAGCUUGCAGCGAAUACACAAAGCAGUGCGGCAAUUGGAGCGCCGAAGUAAAUGGCACCACGCUAGACGGAGUGGCUAGUCCUCCGAAGAAUCUCGCCGUUAUUUGUAGCUACGAUAAUAUAAGCAGCUCUAGCUUUAUAUCCAUUACGUGGAAACCGCCCGAGAAACCGAACGGCAUUAUACAACGUUAUAACAUACAAUUAAGCGGCACGACUAGAUUCAAAAAUGAUAUGGGACAAGUGGUUGACGACAACUUUAAUCUAUCCAGUUUGAGCGUUUUCAACAAGAACAACACGCGAUACAAUCGGAUACCUCCCAAUACAAAUUAUACUGUUCGAGUGCACGGAGUGACAAGAUCUCGCACUCCCGGUAAAAACGCCGUUGGCAACUGCACAACGCCGGUUACGGUUCCGGAGCGUGAGAGCUUGAACAUGCGUAACUGGCGUAAGAUCGAGAACCAAGGCAGGCAGUUGUUCAAGCUCUAUCUGCCCCGCAUCUCCGAGCGAAAUGGUCCUAUCUGUUGUUACCGCGUCUACUUGGUGAAACUGCCGCCACACAAGACUGUCAGCGAUUUGCCGUCACCUGAGGAAAUCGCGGUGUACUCCUAUCAAUACGUACACAGCUCACCUACCGGCGGUGCUUACAUGGCCGAGACGUUUGACAGCGAUCGGUUAUUAAGCGAGGUCUUUCUCGGCGACGGCGAGUCGUCCACCGGUGGCGCGAUGUGCGACAAGUGUGUCGGUCUGCGACCAAAACCGGCGCCCCCGCUGUUGCAUUUUGUCCCGGAAAUUCCAUCGACCACUGCUUCUACUUCGACUACUGCAAGUAACGUCACUGUCACAACCACGUCGACAUCAACAACGAUGAUGACUAGCAGUAGCAGCAGCAGCAGUACAACCACAAGCUCGUCUACGUCGUCAACAACAAUUACUACCAGCACUAUUUCAAAAAUAGACACGACUACGGCUGUGCCACUCGUUAAUAUCUCAGAGAAAGCAGAGAGACGGAAAAGAGAAGAUUCGCCUGUGCAAAGGGCGUCUAUAGAUGGUUCCGGCGAAGCGAGUUUGUUAUUAUCUUACGACGGCUUUCUCGAUGAGACGUCAAACUAUACUGGUUUUAUCGAGGUUAUCGUGUUUGACGAUCGAAGAGAUCAGCUUUUACCGGCUUAUAGCAGUUAUCUUAAUCCUCUAUACGGAGGAGUGGACCCUCUCAGUGUAACAGCCACAGAAGCAACUACUGUCAGAGAAGUGAUAAUACAAUUAUUCAUCGCUCUGAUUUUAACUCUCAUGGUUCUGUUUAUCGCGCUCUGCGUAUUGUAUAGAUAUACAAAACGUGCGCAAGAGAGAGAGGAAGUCAUAACGUUGCGCAAUAGUUUUAGGCAUCUCUGUAGAAGUUUGAGAGGUAGACAUCAGCUCGUGGCGGCGAGUCCACCCGAUAUGCCACCCAUACCGAAGAACGAAUUGCUGCAGGCGUAUUUGGAACGACAUCGGGAUUCAGAUUACGGUUUUCAGCACGAAUUUGAGCUGUUGCCCGACCGAUUCACGGACAGAACGACGCGCGCAUCCGAGGCGCAGGAAAAUCUCUAUAAAAAUCGUUACCCGGACAUCAAGUGUUACGAUCAGACGAGAGUGCGUCUGGCGCAGAUAGACGGUAUUUGCGGCUCCGACUACAUCAACGCUAACUUCGUGCUGGGUUAUAAAGAGCGCAAGAAGUUCAUUUGCGCCCAGGGUCCCAUGGAGAAUACCGUGUGCGAUUACUGGCGUAUGAUCUGGGAGCAGCAUCUCGAACUGAUACUCAUGCUGACGAAUCUCGAGGAAUACUCGAAAACCAAGUGCGCCAAAUACUGGCCGGAUAAGCACGAGACCAAGAACUUCGGAGAUAUCACGGUUGAGCAUGUCAAGGAGCGCGCCUAUUCGGAUUACGUGGUACGCGAGCUGAAGAUGACGCGAUUGGGGGAACGUGACUCUCGCACAAUCGUUCAAUACCACUUCCUCGUAUGGAAGGACUUCGUCGCGCCGGAACAUCCGCACGCAAUUCUACGUUUCAUCAAGCGCGUGAACGAGGCGUACUCGCUGGAGAAAGGACCGAUUUUGGUGCACUGUAGCGCGGGCGUAGGCCGCACCGGUACCCUCGUGGCGCUAGACUCUCUGCUUCAGCAAUUGGCUGAGGAAGGCCAAGUGUCUAUCUUCAAUACCGUGUGCGACCUGCGGCAUCAGCGUAACUUCCUCGUGCAAUCUCUCAAGCAGUACAUUUUUAUCUAUCGCGCGCUCAUGGAGAUGGCGCAGUACGGCGAUACGGAAAUCACGGCGUCGCAACUUAAAGCAACCGUUGCCAGACUCAGGCAGCGAGAUAACGGCAAGGAGAAGUGCAGAAUGGAGGAGGAGUACGAUAAAAUCAGUUCUGUAUUGGAAGAUCGGAAAUCUUUUUCUGUCGGUGGCGGAGAAGAGAACAAAUCGAAGAACAGGAGCGAGCUGGUGAUACCGUACGACAGAAAUCGCGUGAUACUAACUCCGGUUCCGGGGAGGGAACACUCGACGUAUAUAAACGCGUCGUUUAUCGAAGGUUACGACAAUUCCGAAUCGUUUGUCAUUACACAAGAUCCGUUGGAAACCACCAUAACGGAUUUCUGGCGAAUGAUCUCGGAACAGUGCAUUUCCACGAUAGUUAUGUUAUCCGACUUAAAUGAAGGCCCACGGAAAUGUCCACGAUAUUGGCCCGACGACGAGACUGAUUACGAUCACAUAAAGGUCCGUUACAUUCAUAGCGAGAGCUGUCCGUAUUACACGCGUCGCGAGUUCUGCAUUUUGAACACGAAGACUGACGAGAGCGGGGUCGUGAAGCAAUAUCAGUAUCAUGGCUGGCCAACGGUGGAGGGCGAAGUACCUGAAGUGACGCGCGGUCUCAUCGAACUGGUGGAUCAAACGAACGAUCCCGACACGAGCGGCUCGUUGGUUGUGCAUUGCAGCUACGGAUCGGAUCGAAGUUCGAUGUUCGUGGCACUUAGUAUACUAGUCCAACAGCUACGCACCGAGAAGCGCGUAGACAUCUUCACAACGACGAAGAAACUGCGCUCGCAGCGACACGGCAUGAUCAGUACCUUUGCACAAUACGAGUUUCUUCAUCGUGCCAUCGUGAAUUAUUCGGAUCUUCACAACUUGGCCGACGAUGAACCAGUGUCAUAAUGUCUGAAAACUAGCGAAAGCGAGAUUAAAUUGUUCUAAAUACUCUGUUUGGGCAGACAUGUGCGUGAAGAUGUUCCUCGUGAGACGUAAUCGAGGAUCCACGAACAGACGUACAUCGCCCCAACCAAAGAAGAAAUUAAACAUCGAUGACAGAUCAUUAAUAUCUCAUCAUCAUCAUCAUCCAUUAUUAUCAUCAAGAUACAGACGCACAAUGCGCACUUUGCUGCAUCUCGCGCGAAGACUACUUUGUACAUAUAAUAUAAUGGCAGAUUUUACACACACACACACACACACAAUUGAUCGUGAGUUGAUAAGAGAAGCAUUUGAUCGAAGAAUUAACUGGCCAAAUUCAACGCAGUUUUUAUCUUGUGGAUAGAUCCGAGUUGGUGAGAAUCUGAGAAGUGCAGUGCGUGACCGCACGUCACGUGACUGUUGCAGAAGCUUAUUUUUUAUCGGUAGUCUAAUGCUCCAGCCGAGAGAGUAAUGUAUUCGGAGUGCGUCGCGAAGUUUUUUGUGAUCGAGAUCCGGACAGAGAAAGAGAGAUAGAGAAAGAAAGAGACGGAUUUCUUAUCGGAAUUCUCGGUAUGGCUGUACAGCGAAGAACUAUCGCAGGAUGGAACCGGUGUUCUUGUGUAGAUGAAAUUAUGCGAGGAUGCGAAUAACGUGGAACAGAGCACUUCUUCUCUUUUUCUCGCUGUUGUCACAUUCUGACUGAUGUGAAAAUAUUUCGAAUCGGCAAAAUUUUACCGAUAAAAUAUCAUCAAUUACAUUAAGAAACGUACAAUUACUUUGAAAACAAGUAAACAGUGAUUUAAAAAUAUUCAACAAUAUUAUGCUUGUUAUGAACCAAGAAAAAAUCUUUUACAAAUAAGAUAAACAAACUUCAUUUCGUUUUCUAACAUUUCUCUCGAAACAAAAAAAAAACAUUGUUAUAAUUCGUACAAGAAAUUUGCGCUAUGUUAUUAAAUAAUAAUUGAAUAAUCGAUUAAUCACUAAUUUCUUUUAACUAAUAAAGAUUCGGAAUAUUCUCUUGUGCGAGUGAUAACUCAAGAAAGAGAUUUAUACAUUUAAAGGUGCACGUGCGCCAAUUAUGUAAUCGGCUGGAACGUGUUGCGCGAAUGACAGAGGAGCGUGCACUGUGAAAGGACGUGUGCGUGACGUGUGUUACGUGUUUAAUACAGAUCCCUAAAAAGAAAUUUUAAACAAAGGAGAGACGGCGGGCAAAUCUAUUUAAAUGACAAACACAAAGUCAAUAUUUGAUGUGAUGAAACAACGGAGAAUGUUACAUUGAUGUCAAAUUUGUUUUGAAAGCAAUGGCGCAAUUUACCGAUUUGUAAUUUUUUAUUGUAUAUAUAAUAGAAAUUUAAUUUGCAUCGAUGUAAUCCUCUAAUAUAAUUGGUAAUUUAAUUUAAAUGUUCCUCUCUAUUAUUUGUAUUCCGAGGAUAUGGAAAUGUAUUGAAUCUCGAUUCGAAAAUUAGCUCGUAUAUAACUCUGUUAAUCAAGUGAUUACGCAAAAGUCACAUAUGUCACCGCCGUCUCUGCGUUAACCGAACGACUAUUCGGUAAGGUCUCGAAUUUUGUAAAUUUAACGAUUUAAGAUAGCACACACAGAAAACAUACCGCCGCGUAUUGCAUUAAAAAAAAUUACGUUCGUAACAUGAUAACAAGAUCUACUUGUAAGAGACAUUUGCAUAUAUAGUCUUAGAUUUUGUAUGAUAUUCUCACACAAAGAAGAUGACGGCAAGAGGUGGGAUUCACGCUGAAAGAUCUCUAAUAUCUGUGAGAGAUAUAUUAAGUGUACUGAUAAAAAGAAAGAGGGCAAUCGAGUAAAAAAUUUUAACGUGUACAUGCCGGAUGAUUGGAAGAACACCAGGCGCACGGCGCUCGCUAUGAUAUAAUAUGAUAAAGCGCGUUCGCGAGUUUCGCUAUCGAGGAAGUUUCUUUCCUCGAAAGCAAAACUCACGGAAGUGCGCAACCGAGUCUGCGACAGCUCAUCAUCGAAUCAAUUCUUUUUUGUAUGAAACAAUUGUAAAGCGAUAACACACAGUGCACUCGAUGUGGAAAGGAAAUACAUGACACAAUAACAA